CCUACGGGGUGCAGCAGUGGGGAAUAUUGCACAAUGGGGGAAACCCUGAUGCAGCAACGCCGCGUGGGUGAAGGAGCGUUUCGGCGCGUAAAGCCCUGUCAGCGGGGAAGAAGAAAGACGGUACCCGACCAAGAAGCCCCGGCUAACUACGUGCCAGCAGCCGCGGUAAUACGUAGGGGGCAAGCGUUAUCCGGAUGUACUGGGUGUAAAGGGAGCGCAGACGGUGAGACAAGUCUGAAGUGAAAGCCCGGGGCUCAACCCCGGGACUGCUUUGGAAACUGCCUGACUGGAGUGCUGGAGAGGCAAGCGGAAUUCCUAGUGGAGCGGUGAAAUGCGUAGAGAUUAGGAAGAACACCAGUGGCGAAGGCGGCUUGCUGGACAGUAACUGACGUUGAGGCUCGAAAGCGUGGGGAGCAAACAGGAUUAGAUACCCUGGUAGUC
This 441-nucleotide ribosomal RNA is filed under the name uncultured bacterium. RNAcentral's name for it is "partial 16S ribosomal RNA". It matches the Rfam family "Bacterial small subunit ribosomal RNA", at positions 338 to 795 of the family's 1533-position model. The record is from RNAcentral.